GUGCAUGGGGGGGGGGCACAGCCUUCCAGGCAGGGAGGGGACAAAGUCCCCUGGACCUUGCCGGAGAUGGAGUCACACUGCUUGCCAUCUGGCUUUGUUGGGAAGAGAAAAGAAAUGGGGCUUCCGGCAGCCUGUUGGUGGCACCCCCAGCAGUGUGGGUCAUGCCAAAACUGGCAUCUAUGGCAUCGGGGACCCAGGGUACCGUGUGACACAAGUUAGUGUCGUGUGAUAGGGAGAUUGGAUGGCCAGUGUAUUUCAGAAGCCUCUGUGACCCUCCUGAGAGCUCUGCUAACUGUCCAAACAGAGCCACUUGUUUCUUUCUUUUCCUGAAUUGGUUCCAGUUGGCUGAAACACACCAUUUCCCAGCCUCUCUUCAAGAGGAGGCACCACAGCAGGCCUGACCGGUGGGAAGCAGCUAGUGUCUCCAAGGAAGGCUGAAAGCUUUGCCUUGCUGCCUCCUCCAGACACUGCUCCUGCCCCGUCACAUCCCUGACCUCCAGGAGGGAGGCUACGGCUGGAGCUGGAGUUCCACGGUGAGAUGACCCAGGCUGGUGGGGACAGGAUGGAGAAGCCUGGAGCCCACAGGCUCUGUGGAGCCACUGUCUUGCCCUCCUCUGGAGUUAUGCCUGCCGCUUUAGGCCCCUUGCGAAAGGGUCAUCAGUUUGAGAGCCGCUGCCAGCAGAUCCACGGUGGAGAGUCUACCAGCUCAAGCCCAGGCCAUUGGUGUGGCUUCCAGGCGACAGCCCCAGCUUUAGUCUCCCCUGUUGCAUGGUACCUUUCUCUCCAGUCACUGCUAAUGCUUCUCACAAUCCCCACAGAACUUCUCAGAGACCGACCUGAUGAAAAGCCUCUCCCGAAGGAACACUUCCAAUGAUCCCUGCUCGCAUGGCAUUCAAGCCCUUACCUCUAAACUCCAGCCUGACCCUCAGGUUCUCUCCCCAACUUUCACCUUCCUAUGGACAUACUCUUCUCUACCCCUACCUCUCCUCCAUGCCCAUGCUCGUAGCCUGUAUGAUGCUGAGACCAUUUGAAGCUGUUGUAGUUCCGGCCCUCCUCCUCUCUUUGCCCCACCCUCAGCCCUCCUCCAAGGUCUAGCCUUCCUUUGUCACUUUGCUUACCUCAGCUUCUGAGGGGAGGGGCUGUCCGUGUUGUAUCCCAGAACUCCACAGCGUCUGGAUGCAUUCAAGGUUGCAGUGUAUCUAUGUAGAGUCCAAAUGAAUGAAGGGAGGGGGAUACCCGCUUCCUCCGCAUCCUACUCACUUGGAUGCAGGGGUCGGUUAGUGCACAUGUGUCCUGCUUUGCUAACUGCGCUCCCACACUCCUCAUUUAACAGUAGCCUGCAUUCCCUUCUGGAAUUUGCCUCUUCCCCACUGUGUGUGGUCCCGGCGGGCCGAGGGGGAAUUCUAGCCUCCUUGCUCCUCUCAUUGUGAAAAACCAAAGGGCCAACUCCAACUCCCCAUGUCUCCUGGGUCCCACUGGGGAACAGGAACGUGUCUCGACCUCUCUUCUGGGAGCACGCAUCUGUGGAAAGUCAUGCAAAAUGUCAGCCAAGCUUCUGCAUUGCUGGCAACAGCUUGGUCAGUUUGGAGCAGGCAGGGAUUUGUUCCGUAGAAGGUGAGAAAGAUCACAGGCCUGGUAGGAAGACUGGCAGAUGGGCAGCAGCAAGACAGCCAGGUCACAGCUGGGAUCUUAGCUGAAUAGUCCUCAGGACACCAAUCCAUGUGACUACAUACAGGAUGCCACCUUGCUUCCCAUGCUGGGCACAGCAUGGCCAUCCUUCCAGCUGGUCACUGCUGAAGCUGCUGUAUCAUCCUGCCACUCACACAGAAGCACCUGGACAGUAUUCUAUAGCACUGCCUGCUACUUGUUCCCCAGGUGACACGUGAGUGACCCAUCUAUCCAUGGGUCUACGCCCUACCUCAAAGGAGGCUGGGACCUUGCAUUACAGAAUCCUACAAAGGAUACUAGGAUCUACAGUUCCAUCCACAGUGAGAGCAUGACUUAGCCGCUUGUCCACAAGACUUUGCAUCAGGGAAUUCAUGAAGCCUGGAAAGGAGGGAUCCUCAGGGGACAGACAAGCAGGAAGAAUGACAAAGGCCACUGAAUCCAGGGACAGGCAACAAAGCUGGAGGUUACCAUCUCGAGCUCAGAAACACACAGAUCAGAUGUUCUCUGCCGUCUGUAGUAGUCACAACUCCUGAUCUAAGUGUUUAGAAAGGCCCAGGCUCACACCCUCCCAGAGUCUACUCCUCUAGGAUCCUGUCACUUCUCCAAGUUCCCAACAUCCUGCCAAUAAAUUCCUUUUUGCUGAAGUUAA
This is a long non-coding RNA of Mesocricetus auratus (golden hamster), 2317 nucleotides long. RefSeq lists it as uncharacterized. The transcript is spliced from 2 exons. The record is from RefSeq and is a predicted model, not a curated record. Lineage: Eukaryota; Metazoa; Chordata; Mammalia; Rodentia; Cricetidae.